CGAUGAUUAGGCAACAAUCCUUUUGUUUACUUUGUGGGUCUAGUUGCCGCAGGACUGGAUGGUGGGAGUGGCUAGUUGCAUAGUAACUAUGUAUCAGCUUUAGUGUGGAAUGGAAUUCAGAACUGGUUAGUCUCAUCCCAGAACACUCCCUCUAGUUGACACUUGCUCCCUGUCUUUUAAAGAUCACCUCAGCUCUAAUAUUUCCAGAUGCUAGUGAAUGUUUCUAAGUCAGUUUGCUACUGAAGAUCUCUACCGGCAAAUUAUUUUUACAUCGGCCCCCAGAAUUGGCACCGCACAGCAUGCUAUGUGUACAUAUCUUGGCUUCUGAACAAGAAGGACCACAAGGAACAGCCUACGCUGUUGAAGCAGUUGUAGACUAUCUGUUAUUAAUGCUGAGAGCUCAUCUCUGACUCCAGUGGCCUCUACCCAGGCUCUCCAUCCACAAAGGACAAGAACUGCCCAGCGCUUACUUUUCCAGAAAGCAGACGCCACAGAAGGCACUGUUUCUACCUUGCCUGGCAAAGAUCAUUGGAAAAUGAAUGGUAACUGACAUUGUUGGAAACACUUCCCUUUUCAGAUCCAUGAAAGGCGUUGGGUUCUGAGAUGCAAGCGAGAUCUCCCACCCCGCCCCCCCAAAAAACCCAAAAUAGCUUUAAAAUAUUAAAUAAAUAAGAACAACCUGGCACUUUA
Molecule: long non-coding RNA, 690 nt
Organism: Rattus norvegicus (Norway rat)
Lineage: Eukaryota; Metazoa; Chordata; Mammalia; Rodentia; Muridae
Source: RefSeq, a predicted model, not a curated record